Nicotiana tabacum (common tobacco) is the source of this 1701-nucleotide long non-coding RNA. RefSeq lists it as uncharacterized. NCBI's taxonomy places the organism in Eukaryota, Viridiplantae, Streptophyta, Magnoliopsida, Solanales, Solanaceae. The record is from RefSeq and is a predicted model, not a curated record.
UUCUUAACCCUAGCCUAGGUCCAUCCGAACUUUUAAAAAAGUAAAGAACAAUAAAACCUCCUCUAAUUUUCCAAAGUCAUUCUUGCCUAAAAGACAUCGAACCCCUAGUUCUCUAUUCCUAAAGUAUUGUCCAAAAGAUCCGGCGAACUAGUCCCAAUAGCUCUAGCGAUGGCGACAUCUCCAGCAAGGGCGCAAGGCCACAUCUCUGGCAAAGCACACGCCUUUCUAAAGCUUCCUCUCGUUGAUGUUGGCCACAAACCCUAACCAAAGUCACUGAAUUCGGCAAAUAGAGAAGACACCGAGUCAAGAAAACACCUUUGCCACUUCUCUAAAGCUUCCUCCUCACGGUCAACAAUGGGAUCUUGUUAGAGCCGGACAAAUGGAGAAAACCCAGUAGGAAUUGCUUCUUAGAUCGUCUGUAAAACCCUCGUCACUAGGACUUAGGGUACCAAGUAUAUACCUGUGAUUCCGUGAGGGAUAGAAUUGACUUCAAUUGACAGCUUUGGUAAUAUUAUCAACAAAGCAAGUCCCUCAGCCAUCCAUCCGUGAAAAGAUGUCCUUUGAUGCACAAGACUUGAUUGACAGUUAAGCAAGGAGAUCAAGGUGAGAGUUGAAUAAUAACACUUGCGUGAUUUUGAAGGUAAUUGUCUUAUAUGGAUCGAUUAUCUAGUAAUUGCACUGAGUGUUUAAUUGUGUGUCUAUAAUAGUUCAAUCAUCCAACAUGAUUUACCUUAUUUGGAAACUUUUUGGAAUUUGAACUUUUGGCAAUUGACAAGUUUGUUUAUGCAGUGCUGAUUUUUGUUUAUUUAUUUUUCGGGUUUUGAUUAUACCAACAUGAUAAGAUAUCUCAAUUAAGAAUGAACUACUAGUAAAGAUAAAAUAAGAUAUCCUUGUGUUAUUUGGUUGAUGAAUAUCAUAUUACUAGAGUUAGUGAAUGUUUCAUCAAGAUUGACGUUUUAAAUUGCUAGAAACUUUAAAGUUAAAAAAAUAUCUUUAAUUAAAGGAGAUUUGCUGUUUGGUGAAAUGACAAUAAGGUAUGACAAUAAGUUUUUUUAUUUUAUUUUCAAUGAGAUUUAUUUUUAUUUCUUGGAGUUUUUGAAGAUGUUUGUUAUAAUAGCUAAAGUGAUGUCUGUUGGUGCAUGUUAGUAGGAACUGUGUUUCUGCUUGCUCGUACUUUUUGUAUUUGACUUUAGUAGAAUAUGAGGUUGUUGCCUUAUGAAGUUUCGUACUUUUGUAUUUGACUGGUUAUUCUAAGUUAUAAAGUUCCGUCCUUUUUCUUAUGAUACUUUUCCUCUAUAGUUAGUAUUGGCACAUGAGACUUAUACUCUGUAAAUUGAACUUAUGGAUACUACUUUGAUGGUAGUCGCUAGUUGUAUGCUUAUCUUCUGGCUUCUGUAUAGUUAGAUUGAUCAAAUUAUACUCUAGGUUAAGAUUUCAUAUAUCGCUUCUUUUUCCAUGUGAGUUCUUUUUUGAUUAAUUGUUAUAUAACCAAAUAUGAUAUAGAUUGUUUUGUUUUUAUUAUGAUUUUGUAAGUGAAGAAAAUGAACAAAGGAUAGACAAAAGGCAGUCAAUACCUUAAGAUUAUUAGUUGAUAGUUGCAAGAUCUUUAGAUGUUCUAAGAAUUUUUUAUUUUAGAAGUUUUUGCAAACUUAUGUAUGGUAACUCUUGAAUUUAUCAAAUAAUAUUCUCUUUUUUGCUUUA